UUUUUUCUUGUUGGUGGGGUAAUGGCCUACCAAGGCGACGACGGGUAGCCGGCCUGAGAGGGCGACCGGCCACACUGGGACUGAGACACGGCCCAGACUCCUACGGGAGGCAGCAGUGGGGAAUAUUGCACAAUGGGCGAAAGCCUGAUGCAGCGACGCCGCGUGAGGGAUGACGGCCUUCGGGUUGUAAACCUCUUUCAGCAGGGAAGAAGCGAAAGUGACGGUACCUGCAGAAGAAGCGCCGGCUAACUACGUGCCAGCAGCCGCGGUAAUACGUAGGGCGCAAGCGUUGUCCGGAAUUAUUGGGCGUAAAGAGCUCGUAGGCGGCUUGUCACGUCGGGUGUGAAAGCCCGGGGCUUAACCCCGGGUCUGCAUCCGAUACGGGCAGGCUAGAGUGUGGUAGGGGAGAUCGGAAUUCCUGGUGUAGCGGUGAAAUGCGCAGAUAUCAGGAGGAACACCGGUGGCGAAGGCGGAUCUCUGGGCCAUUACUGACGCUGAGGAGCGAAAGCGUGGGGAGCGAACAGGAUUAGAUACCCUGGUAGUCCACGCCGUAAACGUUGGGAACUAGGUGUUGGCGACAUCCACGUCGCCGCGCCGCAGCUGCGCAGGGAGCG
This 614-nucleotide ribosomal RNA is filed under the name Streptomyces sp. Y7(2010). RNAcentral describes it as "bacterial SSU rRNA". It matches the Rfam family "Bacterial small subunit ribosomal RNA", at positions 239 to 866 of the family's 1533-position model. Lineage: Bacteria; Bacillati; Actinomycetota; Actinomycetes; Kitasatosporales; Streptomycetaceae. The record is from RNAcentral.